GACGAACGCUGGCGGCGUGCUUAACACAUGCAAGUCGAACGGAAAGGCCCUGCUUUUGUGGGGUGCUCGAGUGGCGAACGGGUGAGUAACACGUGAGUAACCUGCCCUUGACUUUGGGAUAACUUCAGGAAACUGGGGCUAAUACCGGGUAGGAGCUCCUGCUGCAUGGUGGGGGUUGGAAAGUUUCGGCGGUUGGGGAUGGACUCGCGGCUUAUCAGCUUGUUGGUGGGGUAGUGGCUUACCAAGGCUUUGACGGGUAGCCGGCCUGAGAGGGUGACCGGCCACAUUGGGACUGAGAUACGGCCCAGACUCCUACGGGAGGCAGCAGUGGGGAAUAUUGCACAAUGGGCGGAAGCCUGAUGCAGCAACGCCGCGUGCGGGAUAACGGCCUUCGGGUUGUAAACCGCUUUCGCCUGUGACGAAGCGUGAGUGACGGUAAUGGGUAAAGAAGCACCGGCUAACUACGUG
Molecule: ribosomal RNA, 468 nt
Filed under: uncultured bacterium
Lineage: Bacteria
Description: partial 16S ribosomal RNA
Rfam family: Bacterial small subunit ribosomal RNA
Source: RNAcentral